AGGGUGUAAACGCUGCGGGCUUGGUGUUGGGGGUCCUUUGAGGGCGCCCAGUGCCGGAGAGAAGUUGUUAAGCCUGCUGCUUGGGGAGUACGUCCGCAAGGAUGAAACUUAAAGGAAUUGGCGGGGGAGCACCGCAACGGGAGGAGCGUGCGGUUCAAUUGGAUUCAACGCCGGACAACUCACCAGGAGCGACGGUUACAUGAAGGCCAGGCUGAUGACCUUGCCUGAUUUUCCGAGAGGUGGUGCAUGGCGUAGUCCGUG
RNAcentral lists this ribosomal RNA (261 nucleotides) under uncultured archaeon. RNAcentral's name for it is "partial 16S ribosomal RNA". It matches the Rfam family "Archaeal small subunit ribosomal RNA", at positions 748 to 1013 of the family's 1478-position model. The record is from RNAcentral.